RNAcentral lists this long non-coding RNA (5251 nucleotides) under Homo sapiens (human). The record is from RNAcentral. Lineage: Eukaryota; Metazoa; Chordata; Mammalia; Primates; Hominidae.
UUUGUAGUUCUCCUUCAAGAGGUCCUUCACAUCCCUUGUAAGUUGGAUUCCUAGGUAUUUUAUUCUCUUUGAAGUGAUUGUAUACACAUAAACUUAUGGACACAUGAGUGAUAGUCAAAUUUCAAUCACUAAUGUGGCAUGAGCACUGACCCACCAGAAUGGCCAUGGUAAUUCACCAUGGAGCAGUAUUGCAUCAUCCUGAGUGAGAGUGAAGAAGAAUUGAGGUAGAGGGAAACUGAUAGAUGUGUUUGAGAUUUUAAAAUUAUUUCUCAAACUUUUACACCAAAAUAUAUCCUGGUACAUGUGCAACUUCUAUGGCUCUGUCAGACUCAUUUAAUAGGAAACUACCCACAGAAGAAAAUAAGGAAAACGAAUUCUGUAGGUAGAGAAAUGUAAUGACUAAGAUUUUAAAUGUUAUGACUAAGAUACAUGUUUAGUUGAUAAAAAUUAAUAAAAAUAAGAAACUUUCCUUCCUAGGGCAGCAUAAGAUCAUUUCAGAAUGAAGAUGCUUUGGGAUCUGACUUCGGACUGUAAGAAUGACAAACUCUGAAUGGGUGCAAAGGUAGCAGAUGACCUUCAAAGGAUGGUGAGAUUAAAUUUACCUACACCUAGAGAAAUAAUUGGAGCACAUGUCUAUUUGGGCCAAGAGGAUAAAGGCCAGUAGAGGAAUCAGAUCAAAGAACUUCCUCAGGGAAGUGUGCAGAGAACUGGAGUGGACCUUCCCCUAGGAAGCUGCCCAAAACGAGAGUGCUGGAAAGCUGGCCGCAGUGAGGCACUUCAGAUCCCAAGGGUAUGCUGGGGAAGCUGCCACAGGUGGGAGCACUUGCUGCUGGACCCUAGGCACUGUUGAAACAACUGCACCAUCUGCAGGAGCCCAGCAAGAGAUGAGUUUUUGGAUUCAACUGAAGCCCUUGCUAUCUGCUAGAGUCAGAGUCAUCACAAUUGGGGGGUCUUCAUUAAGCUACACUUUUUAAUGGAACAUCCUAGUGAGGUUUGAGAGUACAGCUUUAUGGUCUAUAUUACAUUACUAAGCCGAUUUUAUUGGGUUAGUCUAUACGUUUUACAAAUUUGUUAUUCUAAUCUCCCCGAAGAAAUAAUUUCCUUAUUGAUCCCUUUCUUUUUCCCCCAUUUUAUUUUCCCAUAUUUUGUGAUAUCCUCUACUUCAACUUUAAAAAAUUAUAACCAUAGAAAGAAAUACAUUUUACAUUAUGACCCAGUGUGUAUACUCACAGAAACAUAUUCAUAUAGAAAACAAGUUUCACGAAACAAUACUUCCUCUGUACAGUGCACUUUGGUGUUGUUAUUGUGUUCUAUUCUAUUCAUUUUCUUCCAUCCUACUAUGUUAUAAAAGUUGCUCUUUUACAAAUCUGUAAUUUGAUCUUAUGACCCACUGACAUGUCUCAACAUACCAUUUGAAAAUUAUUGCUAAACUGUACUUUCUCACUAGUGAUAUUGUACAUCCAGGGUUUAUGAUUGUGUUCAAGAGAAUUCUUGUCUUUGUAAGGCAAAAAUGGCAAAUAUGUCUAUUUCCAUCUAAAAGAGCAUUAUACAAAAUAAAAUUAUUAAGAGUUUCCACUUAAUAGCUGCACUGUUUAGAGCCCACUGGAAGCACAUCAAGUGAGUAUGCAUGCCAAUUAAUGAAAACCAGAUAAAUUAUAUGAUUCAGUUACUCAUUUUGUUAACUACCCAACACAGUGAUGAUGAACACCUUGAUUGUUUUGACUGUUAUGAAGUAAUUUCUGCACAUCUGCCUCACCAGAUCCAUAAUUUACAUUCAGCUCCCUCACCAGAUCCAUAAUUUACAUUCAUCUCAUUAUAUGAGGCAUCAUGAUUACCACUAAUACAUUAAAAACCAACUUAUAAAAGAAAAUAAAAUUUUAAAUUGUAUUCAGUUUAUAUUUUAUUUACUGGGACUAAACACUUCAUAGCAACAAUGUGUUAUUUUUGAGAAGUGUCUAUACAUAGUAGUGUAAACAUUUAUUUUAAUUAUCAUUAAGAAUCAAAAAAUGAAGAGUAUCUAAAUAAUCCAAUUGAUAUUUUAAGGAAUAAAAAUAUAAGAAUUACAAACAUCAGAUCAUGAAGUUAGUUUUGGUCCAUUUUUGAUUCCACAACACAUUGUUAAAAUGUCAAUGAAAAUAUUAAUAUUCAUUUGGUAUAAGACCAAACAAAAGUAAUUUAUAAAUACAUUUUCUUUUAUUUACAUAUUUAAAUGAAAGGGACUAUCACCUUUAAAAUGGGAAAAGCCUAAAUAUCUCUUUCUUUCUGCCUCUUCCUCCCAUCCUUCUACCCUUCUGUCCUCCAUCUCCAUCUGUUUAUGUACAAAGAAGUUAACUGGCCUAUUCUACACCUCUUGAAAGAUGUAUGAACCAUCAUUUGUUUAUUUAAAUGAGUCCUUGGUAGUUCUAACCCUGGAACAUAUUCUACAGAGUUGCCAGUGCAAAAUAUAGCACAAUGACUCAUCAGCACCUAAAAUUUGUAGCAUCUGCUUGGUGAAUUUUGAUUUGAAACUCGUACUUGAUAUUGUGUUUCUUUUCUGUUCACCAUGUGUUAAUAUGUGUGGUGUAUUUUCCUCCAUAAGCAGUUAACAGUUUCUAAUGUGGAUACUUCAGUUUCAGGGAUGAUUGCCCAUCUCCCUGAGGUGCCCAUUAGGGUGCCCCAAUGAAUCCCAUAGUGUUGUAUAGUUUGCAUUUUAAUUCAGCUAAUCCAAAACACGUUCUCCAAAUUCGGUGAAAGUCUGUUCAGAUAUUUCUUUUAUGAUGUUGAAGUCAAUAAUUUUAUUUAAGUUACCUGUAAGAUAAUAGACUUUAGGUAUUAUAUAAAUUAAUUACAUAAAAUGAUCUUAAAUAAUAUGCUGACAUAAUUUUUUUUACUUAAAACUCUUGUUUUGUCCUAUGUAAUUCAAAAGUAACAAAAUGAUUUAAAAAUUCUGUUUUUUCAAUCCUUUAUUAUUAUUCAAGAGUUUGAGUGUCAAAGUCAGUCUACACUUCUGUAAAGAAAUAUAAAAAUCAGUGGUGUAUUUGGCUACAGGUAAUCUGUUCUUGGCUCCAACAUUACUAAACAGAUGACUGGAUGUGUGUGUGUGUGUGUGUGUGUGUGUGUGUGUGUGUGUGUGUCUAGAAGCUGAGGCUAACAGGAGAGGGUAAUUGCCCAUAAAAGUGAAAUAAAAAGCCAAAAUUCUUCUCUUAAGCUUAAGCUUUUUCCCUCCUUAGCAUUACUUCAUAAGAAAUGUAGCAGUGGAAACAUAAGGUUGGCAUGUUUAGAAAAUUCAAUCAUAAAUAAAAACAUUGUGUGAACUGGUUUUUAGUUUUGAAUUAACCUGGGCAAAUUCAGCUGGUUACUCCUUUUCCCUUUUUCCCAGUUUUCAAAGUUAAAAAAUUUAUGACUCUCAGGCAAAGAUAGUGUGAACUCAUGUCAAAGAUUUUAUUUAACUUAAUCCAUGAGGGAACCCAUAAAAUGUUAAAACUUGUAUAAGAAUUUGAGAAGCUACACACACACACAUACACACACAUGCACACACACACACUCUCACACAUUUCAUAAAAGAAUAUUAGGAUAAGAUUUCUCGAUACAAAACUGUUACCUUUGGGGUUAUCUCUCCGCCAGAAAGAACUUGUUUGCAUCCCUGCUAGACAAAAACCUACAAGUUAACCUUUGCCCGUAUGGAGUUGUAAAACAGACCAGUUGAUAGAAAGAGAAGCCUGCUUCCCGAAGCCCUCAGCAGAAGCCGAGCAGAUGUUGGCACCAUGCUUCUUGUACAGCCUGCAGAACUUGAAGAAACACUCCAUAUUAGUUUUCUGGAGCCAUCGUUAUGAAGCAACACAGACUGGGUGGCAUAAACAAUGGAGAUUUAUUUUUUCACAAUUCCGGAGGCUAGAAGUUUGAGAUCAAGGUGUUGGAAAGUGUCUCAGGAUGAUACAUACCGGUUUUUAACUUUGGUGUCAUCAAAUGCAAUUGCAAUGUGACUGUUUCUUGAAAGCCCGAACUGCUUGCUCCCUAUCAAAAGAGCUGGUUCUGAUUCUGCAGCACAAGGACCCUGUAAAAUACCCAGGAGAGAAAAACAGGAGAUUAUGGACUGUUCUUUAAAAAGUGCAAGGAGCACAUUGCUCAACCAAUUCCAUCGUGGACACUAAGGAAGAGAAUGAGAUAUUCAAGAGUUUUCAAGAUCUGCACUCAAGACAACAUUGCCCACCCAUUACUGGUAUGGAAUAUAACCACAACACAUGAGCUGUAAAGAGUGUAGUGACUGUGACCAUCUUUGUUGUAUUGGUGAUAAGAAUGUAAAUUGGCAUAGCCUGUGGAAGAAACAAUUCAGGUAUGUGUAUUGAAAACCUUAGACAUAUUCAUCUUUUGGCCUUAUAAUUUCCUAACUACUUAUCUAUUUUAAGAAUAACUGGAAAUAAUGAAAAAGCUUGAUGCAUAGAGGAGCUCAUCAGAGUAUAGUUUCUAAUAGUGAAAAACUGGAAACACUCUCAAUAGCCUACCAUGGUCUAUUAAAAGUAGAAUAAAUUGGAAAGGCAGAGUGUUCCAGAGAUAAGGAGUCAGACUUUGGAGUCUGACUCGCUAGAAUAAAAUUCUUACUCUGCCUUUUACUAGUGGUGUGAGUGGGUUGGUUGCUUAAGAUAGCUAAUUCUUAUUAACUCGACUAAAAGUAGAAAGACUAUAUUUUACAGAGCCGUUAUGAGAAUUACAUAUAAUAUUGAAUGAAAAUUGUUUAGCCCUGGGCUGGUGAAAGUACUCAUUAUUAUCAUUACUACAUAGUACUUAUGCCAUUUAUUAAACGUUCAGUAUAUGUGAGUCAUUGAACAAACAUUAUCUUUUAAAACUCUGAUACAAAGUCUUUGAUGUCUGUGCUGUUAAUAUCCUCAUUUGACAGAUGAGGAAACAGAAAUAGUCUAUGGCCAAAUCACCCUGAAAGCAUCCGAUCUUUUCUGAUCUCAAAAGCUAAGCAGGGUUGGGCCCGGUUAGUACUUGGAUGGGAAACUGAGAAAUAGAUUGGACAGGUAGCUUUCCCAAAUUCACACAGAUGGUCGGUUACAGUGCUGGGAUUUGAAUACCAGCAGUCUGACUUGAGCCCAUGCUCUAAUCAAGGCUAUAUGACCUCCAAUACUAUAAAAUAGUUGUGUGUCUCUGUGUGUAUAUAUACUUAACAUAAAAUCAUAUUAGACAUACACAUUUAUAUGAUGUUUAGAUACAGUUUUUAUUUAUUUAUUUAUUUUUAUUUUUUGGAGAUGGAGUCUCGCUCUGUUGCCCA